UCUUUUUUGAAUAAAGAAAAAGAAAAAAAAAGUUACCAUUUAAUAAUUAAGAAUAAUAUAUAUGAGUCCGACUGGAAUAUUAUCGAUAGCACCAAGCAUUUUGUGCUAUCAAAUUUUCCACCGUUAGAUUUAAUUUUUUGAUUAUUUUUAUUCGUUAAAUUAUACUAUUAAACUAAUAAUUUACUCAAGCCUAGAAGACCCACAUCAUUCUAACCGUAUAUUUUUUUAUUCAAAGACUGAAAACCUAAUAGCAUCAAUAACUUGUGUUAUUAAUAGUGUUCCAACCUAGUUAUAAUAUACAUAUAUUAGAAAAAAAAAUUGAGAGAAUAAAAAAGUUUAUACUUAAGAAAAAGAAAAGAAU
Molecule: long non-coding RNA, 361 nt
Filed under: Ananas comosus (pineapple)
Lineage: Eukaryota; Viridiplantae; Streptophyta; Magnoliopsida; Poales; Bromeliaceae
Description: long non-coding RNA (ACOM_LNC008570)
Source: RNAcentral